This is a long non-coding RNA of Chinchilla lanigera (long-tailed chinchilla), 3094 nucleotides long. RefSeq lists it as uncharacterized. The record is from RefSeq and is a predicted model, not a curated record. Lineage: Eukaryota; Metazoa; Chordata; Mammalia; Rodentia; Chinchillidae. The transcript has 7 exons.
AGCCGUGGGCAGGGGCGCGCCGCACGCGCCGGCGCCGCGAGUGGAUCUCCGCGCGGAGCGGAUGUCGGCCGCCCGGCGACCUGCGAGACGGGGCUGGAUCCACCCGCCAGCAAGUUGCAGUUUUGUCCACUGCGGUCCUGGAAACUUGGAGCCUUGGCUUUGCGGGCCUGAUCUUUGGAUCCAAAGGAGAUUAAAAAGAUGCCCUCAAGACUGCUGAGCCUGCCAGUUGUACUCGAAGGUUUUCUGAGCCCAGUGGAUUUACAGUGAGAUUCAGCUGCCUGGGGGAAUGAUACUGUCAGACUCGCAUCCUGGAAGUAGACUCACGGGUGCUUAUCAGGAUGCUGAAGGUGUUUUCAGGAAGGCAGCGGCAGAGUGCCCAUGGGGUCUCUCAGCCUGGAUGCCCACGAGGGACCUGACCUCAGCUGCCCACGAGGGCUGAGCUCUCCGACCUUGCCUUGGAUGGGGAUGUUUUGUGAGGUCUCUGCUAGCUCCCUUGGGGUCCCUCUGAAACGUAAGAAUCCUGUCACACCUGGGAUUUAGGUGCUUGUAACCUGAAAAAGAUGCGUAUCCAUUCAGCACUGCAGAAGAACUUGAGGAUAUCUUUCUUGAGCUCAGAACUACUUGGGAAUUUGGAGAAUUGAGGAGGGUUUGUGCUCCCGUGAGAAUCUGAUGCUGAAGCUGAUCUGACAGAAGGCAGAGCUCAGACAGUAAUUGGAGCCAUGGGGAGCAGCUCAGAAGACGAACGAGGCGUCCUUCACUUGCUCACCACUUGCCCGCUGCUGUGUGGCCCUAACAGGCUACAGACCAGUAAUGAAGAAACUGAGAAAGCUGGAGGAGGAGUCUGCUUAGCAAAUGUCAAGCACCUCUGAAAAACAGGACAAUCAUUUGAGCUCCAGCCAUCCUACUAGUCACCUACAGUAGGAUCUGGGGUGCCCAACAAAAGGCCACUGAGACUCUGUGAAGUAGGGGAAUACAUUCCCAGCCAAAGAAGACUCAGGUGAGAAAACCAUCACGCAGAGAUGUUAAGCAACUCAGCAGAAGUCACACCAUUGAAAAGUAGCCAAGAUGGAAGUCCACAUGCUAAGAAAUUCCAGGUUACUACGACUCUCCAGGAGCCUGCAAGAGACUGUAGUACACCUACUCAGGAGGCAAAGGCAGCAGUCAUACUGACCUAGAGAGAAUUGAAUGCAUUUUCCAAAACACUUAGAAGACACAGGAACUGGGAAGAGGAGCUUAGAAAAUUACCACCACCCCCCAAAAAGGAAUGCGCACUCCCUCCUUCCCAGCCUGUCUCCUAGUGCACAUAAUAUCUCUCACCAUUGGUUUGGUCACUGCUGAGCUAUCUUCAUUUAAUGUGGUUUUGACAAAAUAGUUGGUCUGGAAAUUUUAUUUUCAAUUAAACUUACUUGUUGAGCUGCCUCGGUUUUGAAAGGGUUCCAUUAGGAUGGCUAAUUAUAUAGCAGUUGCUACAAGGAGAUAUUUGCACUCAAUUUCAGCUCUUAGGUAAUUCAACUCAAAUGCUUUCUUUAUAUUUUUUCCUCCCUGGAGCAGCGCACAACCCAUCUUCCUCUCACACUACAGGCUUCCCGUGAGCUAUUUUUAGAAACCCAAAUCAAAACAGCAAUUUUGGCGGAGGCCAUUUGUAGCCUAGCAGAGUAAACCAUAUGUACUGAUAAAAACAGCCAAAACCACCUCCCUGGUUGUGGGGUCAGAUGUCUGGGAGCUGCAGGCUGACCUUUAUACUAAAACAUUCCUUUGAAACCGCUAGCUGAAGUCAAAGGCAAUGGAGCCGCCUUUAAAAUGACAAAGGGUUUGUGCCUUUGCAGACAAUUGCCACAGUCCCUGCAUUUCACAAUGGCAGCUCUGGCAGUAUUUCCUGGGGCUCUGUUAUGGUCUCUGGGUCCCUGGUCGAGGAGGGAGGGCACUUCCUUGAUUUUCUCUACUCUGCUUUCUUUGAGCAGCACACACUCACUACCUCCUUGUGCUUACCCUCAGGGUCACCCCCUGCCCACAGGCAGAGUAUAAGGUGAAGGGUAGGGCUGUACUUUUCACCCUGUGGUAUUCUUGGUGCACAGUAGGUGCGAAUACGCAGAUGAGUCAUUACAAUGCUAUUUGCAUUCUCAUUUUGAAAAAUGUCAAUCUUUUAUUACAUAGAUACUAAGUGAAUGUAUUUAUCUUAGGGCAAAAAAAAAAACCCUUGCCAAAUAAGGCUGAAUGUCCUCCAAGUCACCAUCUCCAGCCCUUGUCUCUUCGUUACAAGCAUUUGUCAUCAUUUAGAACACAUCUUUACAGACCUUCCUAAUACAUUUCUGCACAUUAUGCACACACACACAGUCAACCUCUAGACCUGUGAUAAGCAGAAUAUUACAAAGCUUAUCCAGUUUCACUCAGCAGUCUAUCCAGGGGUGCAGUGCACGGCCACCUCUUUCCUUUGAACUGCUGCACAGUUUUAUUACACUGAGUAGAUACGCCAUCUCUGAUUAGAACCAAAUAAAUUCCUUUACCUGCUUUCCUCAUUAGACCUCUAGAUCCAUUCUCAUGUGUAGGUUGACCAACUAGCCAUAUCCACUGCUAUCUAGGUAGCUAUAUAACAUUCUGUUAAAACCAGCCACCUUCCUAGGAGAUUAUGCCAAGCCAGUAGAGACAAGUGUGUGAAAUUCUAAGGGUUGCCAAUGAGACCAAAAUUCUUUUGUCCUCCACCUAAGGAAUAGCACUGUGCCCUGGGAAUUGCCUAGUAGUGGAGAGGGAGUGCUGUGGGAUUCAGCUGGGCUCUGCUCACAGCCAAGGUGUUCCUGGAUGGGCCCUCGCUCCCCAGACCUUGUCUUUCUUAUUUGUACAAUGGACUCAGGGAACCUCUUGAAGCUGUUAGGCUGUGAAUAAUAGGCCUUUCACAGUGCUACCAGGAUUGCCCCACAGAAUGUGUGAUUGGUUCUUUGUCUGCUGUGUGUAGGCUGGGGAAAGAGGCAGCCCCCAGCACACCCCAGUCCAGAGCUCUUCCUGAGACCACGCCAUGAAGAACCCGGGAAGGACUGCCUCUGGACUGUACCCUUCUUUCCUAUUGCUUUGUCAUUCAAUUAAAAUUAGUAUUACAGUU